RNAcentral lists this ribosomal RNA (711 nucleotides) under uncultured Bacillota bacterium. Its description in RNAcentral is "bacterial SSU rRNA". It matches the Rfam family "Bacterial small subunit ribosomal RNA", at positions 71 to 767 of the family's 1533-position model. Lineage: Bacteria; Bacillati; Bacillota. The record is from RNAcentral.
ACUAAGAGCUUGCUCUUAGUUGGUUAGCGGCGGACGGGUGAGUAACACGUGGGCAACCUGCCCUGUAGACUGGGACAACUUCGGGAAACCGAAGCUAAUACCAGAUAAUCAAAAGAAGCUCCUGCUUCUUUUGUAAAAGUUGGGAUACUAACACUACAGGAUGGGCCCGCGGCGCAUUAGCUAGUUGGUAAGGUAAUGGCUUACCAAGGCGACGAUGCGUAGCCGACCUGAGAGGGUGAUCGGCCACACUGGGACUGAGACACGGCCCAGACUCCUACGGGAGGCAGCAGUAGGGAAUCUUCCGCAAUGGACGAAAGUCUGACGGAGCAACGCCGCGUGAGCGAUGAAGGCCUUCGGGUCGUAAAGCUCUGUUGUUAGGGAAGAACAAGUAUCGUUCGAAUAGGGCGAUACCUUGACGGUACCUAACCAGAAAGCCACGGCUAACUACGUGCCAGCAGCCGCGGUAAUACGUAGGUGGCAAGCGUUGUCCGGAAUUAUUGGGCGUAAAGCGCGCGCAGGCGGCUCUUUAAGUCUGAUGUGAAAGCCCACGGCUCAACCGUGGAGGGUCAUUGGAAACUGGGGAACUUGAGUACAGAAGAGGAGAGUGGAAUUCCACGUGUAGCGGUGAAAUGCGUAGAUAUGUGGAGGAACACCAGUGGCGAAGGCGACUCUCUGGUCUGUAACUGACGCUGAGGCGCGAAAGCGUGGGGA